CCUACGGGGAGCAGCAGUAAGGGAUAUUGGUCAAUGGGGGAAACCCUGAACCAGCAACGCCGCAUGAGGGAAGACGGUUUUCGGAUUGUAAACCUCUGUCCUCUGUGAAGAGAAUGACGGUACCUGACUAAGAAGCCCCGGCUAACUACGUGCCAGCAGCCGCGGUAAUACGUAGGGGGCGAGCGUUAUCCGGAUUUACUGGGUGUAAAGGGAGCGUAGACGGUUCUGCAAGUCUGAAGUGAAAGCCCGUGGCUUAACCGCGGAACGGCUUUGGAAACUGUGGAACUGGAGUGCUGGAGAGGCAAGCGGAAUUCCUAGUGUAGCGGUGAAAUGCGUAGAUAUUAGGAGGAACACCAGUGGCGAAGGCGGCUUGCUGGACAGUAACUGACGUUGAGGCUCGAAAGCGUGGGGAGCAAACAGGAUUAGAUACCCCAGUAGUC
This 440-nucleotide ribosomal RNA is filed under the name uncultured bacterium. RNAcentral's name for it is "partial 16S ribosomal RNA". It matches the Rfam family "Bacterial small subunit ribosomal RNA", at positions 338 to 795 of the family's 1533-position model. The record is from RNAcentral.